Molecule: long non-coding RNA, 263 nt
Filed under: Linum usitatissimum (flax)
Lineage: Eukaryota; Viridiplantae; Streptophyta; Magnoliopsida; Malpighiales; Linaceae
Description: long non-coding RNA (LUSI_LNC008291)
Source: RNAcentral
UUAAAUCAGAUAAUAAAAAAAAUUUAAUAUCAUUUAGAGAUCUAUUAAUCUCAAUAAUUCAAAUUGGUAGAAGUGAUUUCAUAAUUAAUUUUUAUACUAUUAUCAUAAAGCCUGUACCAAAAGUCUAUUUUCUACCAUAUGAAUCAACAAAAACCAAAGCUAUUUCUACCCCAAAAAAAAAACAAAAAAAACAACUACUUGACAUGUCUAUGAGACAUAAGAAAAUUUAUUUACUACCUCCUAAUAAUUAAUUUAUUUUAGUU